Molecule: non-coding RNA, 79 nt
Organism: Lentisphaerae bacterium GWF2_57_35
Lineage: Bacteria; Pseudomonadati; Lentisphaerota
Source: Rfam
GAGAGCCGGAUGCGGGAAAUCUGCACGUCCGGUUCGGAGGGAGGGGCGGCUCAACCCAAUGAGCCGUCCCUACCCCUAU